Molecule: ribosomal RNA, 112 nt
Filed under: Rhododendron griersonianum
Lineage: Eukaryota; Viridiplantae; Streptophyta; Magnoliopsida; Ericales; Ericaceae
Source: RNAcentral
UGUGAUCAUACCAGCACUAAUGCACCGGAUCCUUCAAAACUUCGCAGUUAAGCGUGCUUUGGCGAGAGUAGUACUAGGAUGGGUGACCCCCUGGGAAGUCCUCGUGUUGCAC